UGGGGAAUAUUGGACAAUGGGCGCAAGCCUGAUCCAGCCAUGCCGCGUGAGUGACGAAGGUCUUCGGAUUGUAAAGCUCUUUUAGCAGGGAAGAUAAUGACGGUACCUGCAGAAUAAGCCCCGGCUAACUUCGUGCCAGCAGCCGCGGUAAUACGAAGGGGGCUAGCGUUGUUCGGAAUUACUGGGCGUAAAGCGCACGUAGGCGGAUUGAUAAGUUAGAGGUGAAAUCCCGGGGCUCAACCUCGGAACUGCCUUUGAUACUGUUAGUCUCGAGUCCGAUAGAGGUGAGUGGAAUUCCUAGUGUAGAGGUGAAAUUCGUAGAUAUUAGGAAGAACACCAGUGGCGAAGGCGGCUCACUGGAUCGAUACUGACGCUGAGGUGCGAAAGCGUGGGGAGCAAACAGGAUUAGAUACCCCGGUAAUCCCUGAGCGGGCUGGCAAGGCGCAU
RNAcentral lists this ribosomal RNA (447 nucleotides) under uncultured bacterium. RNAcentral describes it as "bacterial SSU rRNA". It matches the Rfam family "Bacterial small subunit ribosomal RNA", at positions 355 to 825 of the family's 1533-position model. The record is from RNAcentral.